UCCUGUGGUAUUAGGUGGACUGGAGAAAGAGGCCCGCGUGAAUUAAGUGUAGUUCUCUUAUGCACUGGCGGACUCUGGUCGCCCUUCCUUGUGAAGGCUGCCUGGGUAGCCGUAGAGGACGAGGCCACUCUAAAGCCUCGUUUUCCCAGCGGAAUUUUAACUAUUCUAAGGAUGUCCUUACAGCCAGUUCCCCACUCCGCUACUCAGAGUGUGUCAGACUUUACCCUGUCCAUUCAACUCCAGAAAAACCGGGAGGUCUAGAUUCGGAAGAUUAAAUUUACCUUUGAAUUAGGACAUGUAAAAUAGGAAGUUAAUAUUAGCAUCCUAAUGACAAAAGUUUUCUCGUUAUCAUACUUGACUCAAAUGGGAAUCUUACGGAUAUUAAUGUUUUUUCCAGAAACAGGUUUGAAAGGUAUUUCAAGGAUAAAUCUGGGGAAAGGGAUGGAAGCAACUGAUUUUUAAUUUUUAGAUAGUACUCUCAGAGCAUUUAUUUAGUCCAAAACUGUUAAUUUAAUGAAUUAGGCUAAACUAGACGCUGGGGUAACAAAGCUGAGUUAGAUACCCUCUCCUCUGAGGCAGCUAAAGAGAAGGAAAGUCUGGUGGCUGACAAGUAAACCAACAGUUAUGUUCUUCAGAGAGGAGAUCUCAGACUCUCUAAGCAAAAGAAACUAAUAGCUGUAUGACAACAGCCAAAGAGUAAAUAUCCUUUCAAGUCCAAUCCUGCCUAAGAUGUCAAAAUCAAGAAUGAAGAGGUUAUGUGCUGAAACAGAAUGACCUUCACAAGAUGCAGCCUCUGGAUCUUGGACUUCCCCAGCCUCCAGAACUGGAUCAUAUAGCUGCUCCAAGAAUGGACUGUAGGGGGUCAGUAAAGGAAAAGGGAGACAAUUGGGAGACUAUUACAUUUAUCCACAUGAAUGAUG
Molecule: long non-coding RNA, 920 nt
Filed under: Homo sapiens (human)
Lineage: Eukaryota; Metazoa; Chordata; Mammalia; Primates; Hominidae
Description: HSALNT0328357
Source: RNAcentral